RNAcentral lists this ribosomal RNA (253 nucleotides) under uncultured bacterium. Its description in RNAcentral is "partial 16S ribosomal RNA". It matches the Rfam family "Bacterial small subunit ribosomal RNA", at positions 524 to 776 of the family's 1533-position model. The record is from RNAcentral.
UACGUAGGCAGCGAGCGUUGUUCGGAGUUACUGGGCGUAAAGGGUGUGUAGGCGGUUUUUUAAGUUUGGUGUGAAAUCUCCCGGCUCAACUGGGAGGGUGCGCCGAAUACUGAAAGACUAGAGUACGGGAGAGGAAAGUGGAAUUCCUGGUGUAGCGGUGAAAUGCGUAGAUAUCAGGAGGAACACCUGUGGUGUAGACAGCUUACUGGACCACUUCUGACGCUGAGACACGAAAGCGUGGGUAGCAAACAGG